Molecule: ribosomal RNA, 429 nt
Filed under: Acidobacteriota bacterium
Lineage: Bacteria; Pseudomonadati; Acidobacteriota
Description: Acidobacteria bacterium partial 16S ribosomal RNA
Rfam family: Bacterial small subunit ribosomal RNA
Source: RNAcentral
UGGGGAAUUUUGGACAAUGGGGGCAACCCUGAUCCAGCAAUGCCGCGUGUGUGAAGAAGGCCUUCGGGUUGUAAAGCACUUUUGUCCGGAAAGAAAACUUCGGGGCUAAUACCCCUGGAGGAUGACGGUACCGGAAGAAUAAGCACCGGCUAACUACGUGCCAGCAGCCGCGGUAAUACGUAGGGUGCGAGCGUUAAUCGGAAUUACUGGGCGUAAAGCGUGCGCAGGCGGUGCUGUAAGACCGAUGUGAAAUCCCCGGGCUUAACCUGGGAACUGCAUUGGUGACUGCAGCGCUGGAGUAUGGCAGAGGGGGGUGGAAUUCCACGUGUAGCAGUGAAAUGCGUAGAGAUGUGGAGGAACUCCGAUGGAGAAGGCAGCCCCCUGGGCCAAUACUGACGCUCAUGCACGAAAGCGUGGGGAGCAAACAGG